This 260-nucleotide unclassified non-coding RNA is filed under the name uncultured Xylariales. RNAcentral's name for it is "sequence contains 5.8S rRNA gene, ITS2, 28S rRNA gene". Lineage: Eukaryota; Fungi; Ascomycota; Sordariomycetes; Xylariales. The record is from RNAcentral.
AACGCACAUUGCGCCCAUUAGUAUUCUAGUGGGCAUGCCUGUUCGAGCGUCAUUACAACCCUUACGCCCUGGUUGCGUAGUGUUGGGACCUUACCGCCCCCCCCGGCGGUAACUCCCUAAAGUCAGUUGGCAGAGUCACGGCGUGCUCUAAGCGUAGUAAUCAUCUUCUCGCUUCUGAAGCCGUCGCGGCGAUCGCCAGAAAACCCCUAUAUUUUCUAGUGGUUGACCUCGGAUCAGGUAGGAAUACCCGCUGAACUUAA